AGAUUAAGUUAUUAAGGGCGCACGGUGGAUGCCUUGGCACUAGAAGCCGAUGAAGGACGUUACUAACGACGAUAUGCUUUGGGGAGCUGUAAGUAAGCUUUGAUCCAGAGAUUUCCGAAUGGGGAAACCCAGCAUGAGUUAUGUCAUGUUAUCGAUAUGUGAAUACAUAGCAUAUCAGAAGGCACACCCGGAGAACUGAAACAUCUUAGUACCCGGAGGAAGAGAAAGAAAAUUCGAUUCCCUUAGUAGCGGCGAGCGAAAAGGGAAGAGCCCAAACCAACAAGCUUGCUUGUUGGGGUUGUAGGACACUCUAUACGGAGUUACAAAGGACGACAUUAGACGAAUCAUCUGGAAAGAUGAAUCAAAGAAGGUAAUAAUCCUGUAGUCGAAAAUGUUGUCUCUCUUGAGUGGAUCCUGAGUACGACGGAGCACGUGAAAUUCCGUCGGAAUCUGGGAGGACCAUCUCCUAAGGCUAAAUACUCUCUAGUGACCGAUAGUGAACCAGUACCGUGAGGGAAAGGUGAAAAGCACCCCGGAAGGGGAGUGAAAUAGAACCUGAAACCGUGUGCUUACAAGUAGUCAGAGCCCGUUAAUGGGUGAUGGCGUGCCUUUUGUAGAAUGAACCGGCGAGUUACGAUUUGAUGCAAGGUUAAGCAGUAAAUGUGGAGCCGUAGCGAAAGCGAGUCUGAAUAGGGCGUUUAGUAUUUGGUCGUAGACCCGAAACCAGGUGAUCUACCCUUGGUCAGGUUGAAGUUCAGGUAACACUGAAUGGAGGACCGAACCGACUUACGUUGAAAAGUGAGCGGAUGAACUGAGGGUAGCGGAGAAAUUCCAAUCGAACCUGGAGAUAGCUGGUUCUCUCCGAAAUAGCUUUAGGGCUAGCCUCAAGUGAUGAUUAUUGGAGGUAGAGCACUGUUUGGACGAGGGGCCCCUCUCGGGUUACCGAAUUCAGACAAACUCCGAAUGCCAAUUAAUUUAACUUGGGAGUCAGAACAUGGGUGAUAAGGUCCGUGUUCGAAAGGGAAACAGCCCAGACCACCAGCUAAGGUCCCAAAAUAUAUGUUAAGUGGAAAAGGAUGUGGCGUUGCCCAGACAACUAGGAUGUUGGCUUAGAAGCAGCCAUCAUUUAAAGAGUGCGUAAUAGCUCACUAGUCGAGUGACACUGCGCCGAAAAUGUACCGGGGCUAAACAUAUUACCGAAGCUGUGGAUUGUCCUUUGGACAAUGGUAGGAGAGCGUUCUAAGGGCGUUGAAGCAUGAUCGUAAGGACAUGUGGAGCGCUUAGAAGUGAGAAUGCCGG
This 1299-nucleotide ribosomal RNA is filed under the name Staphylococcus aureus. RNAcentral's name for it is "partial 23S ribosomal RNA". It matches the Rfam family "Bacterial large subunit ribosomal RNA", at positions 1 to 1300 of the family's 2925-position model. Lineage: Bacteria; Bacillati; Bacillota; Bacilli; Caryophanales; Staphylococcaceae. The record is from RNAcentral.